Molecule: ribosomal RNA, 505 nt
Filed under: uncultured bacterium
Lineage: Bacteria
Description: partial 16S ribosomal RNA
Rfam family: Bacterial small subunit ribosomal RNA
Source: RNAcentral
GACGAACGCUGGCGGCGUGCCUAAUACAUGCAAGUAGAACGCACAGUUUAUACCGUAGCUUGCUACACCAUAGACUGUGAGUUGCGAACGGGUGAGUAACGCGUAGGUAACCUGCCUGGUAGCGGGGGAUAACUAUUGGAAACGAUAGCUAAUACCGCAUCAUAUUGAUUAUUGCAUGAUAAUUGAUUGAAAGAUGCUAUUGCAUCACUACCAGAUGGACCUGCGUUGUAUUAGCUAGUAGGUGAGGUAACGGCUCACCUAGGCGACGAUACAUAGCCGACCUGAGAGGGUGAUCGGCCACACUGGGACUGAGACACGGCCCAGACUCCUACGGGAGGCAGCAGUAGGGAAUCUUCGGCAAUGGACGAAAGUCUGACCGAGCAACGCCGCGUGAGUGAAGAAGGUUUUCGGAUCGUAAAGCUCUGUUGUAAGAGAAGAACGGGUGUGAGAGUGGAAAGUUCACACUGUGACGGUAUCUUACCAGAAAGGGACGGCUAACUACGUG